AGUGAACGCUGGCGGUAGGCCUAACACAUGCAAGUCGAACGGCAGCACAGUAAGAGCUUGCUCUUACGGGUGGCGAGUGGCGGACGGGUGAUGAAUACAUCGGAAUCUACUUUUUCGUGGGGGAUAACGUAGGGAAACUUACGCUAAUACCGCAUACGACCUACGGGUGAAAGCAUGGGAUCUUCGGACCUUGCGCGAUUGAAUGAGCCGAUGUCGGAUUAGCUAGUUGGCGGGGUAAAGGCCCACCAAGGCGACGAUCCGUAGCUGGUCUGAGAGGAUGAUCAGCCACACUGGAACUGAGACACGGUCCAGACUCCUACGGGAGGCAGCAGUGGGGAAUAUUGGACAAUGGGCGCAAGCCUGAUCCAGCCAUACCGCGUGGGUGAAGAAGGCCUUCGGGUUGUAAAGCCCUUUUGUUGGGAAAGAAAAGCAGCAGGUUAAUACCCCGCUGUUCUGACGGUACCCAAAGAAUAAGCACCGGCUAACUUCGUG
RNAcentral lists this ribosomal RNA (492 nucleotides) under uncultured bacterium. RNAcentral's name for it is "partial 16S ribosomal RNA". It matches the Rfam family "Bacterial small subunit ribosomal RNA", at positions 29 to 507 of the family's 1533-position model. The record is from RNAcentral.